RNAcentral lists this ribosomal RNA (106 nucleotides) under uncultured bacterium. Its description in RNAcentral is "partial 16S ribosomal RNA". It matches the Rfam family "Bacterial small subunit ribosomal RNA", at positions 355 to 479 of the family's 1533-position model. The record is from RNAcentral.
UGGGGAAUUUUGCGCAAUGGGGGGAAACCCUGACGCAGCAACGCCGCGUGCGGGAUGACGGCCUGGUUGUAACCGCUUUCAGUAGGGAAGGAACAUCGACGGUACC